GAUGAACGCUGGCGGCGUGCUUAACACAUGCAAGUCGAACGAUGAAGCCCAGCUUGCUGGGUGGAUUAGUGGCGAACGGGUGAGUAACACGUGAGUAACCUGCCCUUGACUCUGGGAUAAGCCCGGGAAACUGGGUCUAAUACCGGAUAGGAGCGCCUGUCGCAUGACGGGUGUUGGAAAGAUUUUUCGGUCAUGGAUGGACUCGCGGCCUAUCAGCUUGUUGGUGAGGUAAUGGCUCACCAAGGCGACGACGGGUAGCCGGCCUGAGAGGGUGACCGGCCACACUGGGAUUGAGACACGGCCCAGACUCCUACGGGAGGCAGCAGUGGGGAAUAUUGCACAAUGGGCGGAAGCCCUGAUGCAGCGACGCCCGCGUGAGGGAAUGACGGGCC
This 392-nucleotide ribosomal RNA is filed under the name Micrococcus sp. oral taxon F54. RNAcentral's name for it is "bacterial SSU rRNA". It matches the Rfam family "Bacterial small subunit ribosomal RNA", at positions 28 to 417 of the family's 1533-position model. Lineage: Bacteria; Bacillati; Actinomycetota; Actinomycetes; Micrococcales; Micrococcaceae. The record is from RNAcentral.